Molecule: transfer RNA, 63 nt
Filed under: bovine gut metagenome
Rfam family: tRNA
About the family: Transfer RNA (tRNA) molecules are approximately 80 nucleotides in length. Their secondary structure includes four short double-helical elements and three loops (D, anti-codon, and T loops).
Source: RNAcentral
CCGGUAGCUCAGUCGGUAGAGCACUGGACUUUUAAUCCAGGUGUCGGGAGUUCGAGCCUCCUC